RNAcentral lists this ribosomal RNA (867 nucleotides) under uncultured bacterium. RNAcentral describes it as "bacterial SSU rRNA". It matches the Rfam family "Bacterial small subunit ribosomal RNA", at positions 42 to 890 of the family's 1533-position model. The record is from RNAcentral.
GCGUCUUGGUUAUUGAUGUUAAGUGCUUGCAUUUAAUUGAUUUAACAUUGAGACGAGUGGCGAACUGGUGAGUAACACGUGGGUAACCUGCCCUUGAAGUAGGGGAUAACACUUGGAAACAGGUGCUAAUACCGUAUAACAACCAAAACCACCUGGUUUUGGUUUAAAAGAUGGCUUCGGCUAUCACUUUAGGAUGGACCCGCGGCGUAUUAGCUUGUUGGUAAGGUAACGGCCUACCAAGGCAAUGAUACGUAGCCGACCUGAGAGGGUAAUCGGCCACAUUGGGACUGAGACACGGCCCAAACUCCUACGGGAGGCAGCAGUAGGGAAUCUUCCACAAUGGACGAAAGUCUGAUGGAGCAACGCCGCGUGAGUGAUGAAGGGUUUCGGCUCGUAAAACUCUGUUGUUGGAGAAGAACAGGUGUGAGAGUAACUGUUCACAUCUUGACGGCAUCCAACCAGAAAGCCACGGCUAACUACGUGCCAGCAGCCGCGGUAAUACGUAGGUGGCAAGCGUUGUCCGGAUUUAUUGGGCGUAAAGCGAGCGCAGGCGGUUUCUUAGGUCUGAUGUGAAAGCCUUCGGCUUAACCGGAGAAGUGCAUCGGAAACCAGGAGACUUGAGUGCAGAAGAGGACAGUGGAACUCCAUGUGUAGCGGUGAAAUGCGUAGAUAUAUGGAAGAACACCAGUGGCGAAGGCGGCUGUCUGGUCUGUAACUGACGCUGAGGCUCGAAAGCAUGGGUAGCGAACAGGAUUAGAUACCCUGGUAGUCCAUGCCGUAAACGAUGAGUGCUAAGUGUUGGAGGGUUUCCGCCCUUCAGUACUGCAGCUAACGCAUUAAGCACUCCGCCUGGGGAGUACGACCGCA